GUAGGUGGCAAGCGUUGUCCGGAAUUAUUGGGCGUAAAGCGCGCGCAGGCGGUUCUUUAAGUCUGAUGUGAAAGCCCACGGCUCAACCGUGGAGGGUCAUUGGAAACUGGAGAACUUGAGUACAGAAGAGGAAAGCGGAAUUCCACGUGUAGCGGUGAAAUGCGUAGAGAUGUGGAGGAACACCAGUGGCGAAGGCGGCUUUCUGGUCUGUAACUGACGCUGAGGCGCGAAAGCGUGGGGAGCAAACAGGGAUUAGAUAACCCUGGUAGUCCACGCCGUAAACGAUGAGUGCUAAGUGUUAGGGGGUUUCCGCCCCCCUUAGUGCUGCAGCUAACGCAUUAAGCACUCCGCCUGGGAUACGGCCGCAAGGCUG
RNAcentral lists this ribosomal RNA (373 nucleotides) under uncultured organism. Its description in RNAcentral is "partial 16S ribosomal RNA". It matches the Rfam family "Bacterial small subunit ribosomal RNA", at positions 527 to 896 of the family's 1533-position model. The record is from RNAcentral.